ACACAAGUAUGCAAUUAUUACAUUUGGGACCCUAACUACAAUCUAAAACGGGAAUCUUUGGAAAUAAUAAACCUAUUUAUUACAUUUGUUUAUCCAUAUAUAUUUUCUUGGUAAAAGGGAAAAACUUAUCUAUUACAAUUUGGCAUUUAAAAUAUCCUCCAAAAUAAUCAAAAGACUUAAAUCAAACAUAAAAUGAAUAAAAAGCUAAAAUAAGCAAAUAAAAGAAAAAUACAUAAAACAUAUAAUCACACUUAAAAACACAUAGGAGCACAUAAAAGGGUUUAAAAAAUAAUAGAGGGUACAUCCCUUGAAAUAAUGGUUAAAUGAGGUAGAGUUUGCCCUAUUUAUACUCCAAAACCAACAAAAAUUGUCAAGACACCAAUUUAAUUAACAAUUUAAAAGAAAUGUAAACAUAUAACAAAUUCACUUUAUUAUUUUAAAGAAAUAUAAAGAAAUAUAAAAUCUCUAAAAAUUUACAAAUUAGAUGCAUUUGAAUGAAACAUGAUUAACAAUUAAAGAAGAUAAACAAUUGUAAUUAACAAAAAAUCAAAACCAUUAGGGACUCAAUUGCAAAAUUUGCAGAAAUUAAAAGUUUUUCAGGUCAAAUUUUAAUUUUUAAAAAAUUAGGGAUCAAAAUUGAAUAAAAAUAAAAUUUAGGGAUCAAAAUACAAUUAAAUUAAGGAAUUAAUUGAAAGAAAUAGAGAAAUUAUUCAAAAGAGUAGGGACUGAAGAGCAAAAUAUUCUUUUCUGCUUGUACAAAGACAACAAACAUUGGGCCAUUUCUAUGUAUUUUGGGGCACAACACUUUGGCCCGAGGAAAAUAAAUGGGUUAUAUUAUUAAAAAAAAAAUUCCGCCCAAUUUAUUUUUACUUGUUAAACCUAAGAAAGGAAGCGGGGUUAAGUUUCAAAAUCCAAUGAAAUUAAACACAAACCCAACAGGCAAAAAUGAAUUCUAACCAAUGUCUCAGCCCAUAAACAUGACCCAACAGCAGCCAACUCAUCUGGAAAGAUCAAACAAGAGAAGGCAAACGAAAUUUGCAAAGAAAGAACAAAGCACUAGUUUCCGGAGAAAAAUGUUUUCGAGGGUUUCUAAGGUCGACUUUUGGUAUAAACAUGAUCCUUGCAAUUUUGUGAACUCACUCAAAUCAUCAAACAAGAUUUUUAAACAUCAUAAGUCAUGCAAAAGUGAGAUCUAAGGUUCAUAAAUUUAGAACUUUCCAUGGCUCGUCUAGAUCUCAUUUAAACGUUAAAUCAACGAAGAGAAGCGAGUAAUAGUUACCUCUGAUACUUGCUUGAAUCGAAACAGGAGUGAAAAGCUCCAGGAAUACGUGCAAAUCUUCGCGAAGAGAGCCAAACCAAGAAUUGUGAAGCAGGAAAAUUUGAGGUCGAAUUCAAGGUAUUUACGAACAUUUUUUCAGGAAAGUUUCAAGACAAAAGUUUCUCCCCUACAACUAGAGAUGGUGCAGAAAAAAAUAAUCUCCUCAAAAGGAGGUUGGAGUUGGUCGGAAUAAGAUGACGAGUAGAGCUAUUCGGUCAGCCCUUACUCAAAUUUUGUUUGCAGAAAUUUUUUUUUUCUUCCUUUUUUUUUUCUUCUCUGAUGCUUAGUCGACUUUUCUCCUUUUCUCCCCUAACCCUAAGACUCUCUCUUAUCCUUUUAAAUGAAAACAAAAAUUGAUUAAUCCCUCAGAAUAAUGGUCCAGAUGGAAACAAGGUUUUAUGGCAAUAUUUGGUCCAUUUGAUCUUGUUUGUUAGUUGUUGCUUGAGAGAUUUUUGAAUGGUGAGGUGUUCAUGGUACGAAUUAAUCUUUGGGGGCAAAGAAAACAGGAAACAAAAACGAAUUUUGGUUGCCAAAAAAUCAAGCUCUUUUUUGUACUGCUG
This 1878-nucleotide long non-coding RNA is filed under the name Coffea arabica (coffee). RNAcentral describes it as "long non-coding RNA (CARA_LNC000048)". Lineage: Eukaryota; Viridiplantae; Streptophyta; Magnoliopsida; Gentianales; Rubiaceae. The record is from RNAcentral.